AUUGAACGCUGGCGGCAUGCUUUAUACAUGCAAGUCGGACGAGUGGCGAACGGGUGAGUAACAUAUCGGAACGUACCUAGUAAUGGGGGAUAACUAAGCGAAAGAUUAGCUAAUACUGCAUAUUAUUCGAGCGGCCGAUACCUGAUUAGCUGGUUGGUGGGGUAAAGGCCGACAAAGGCGACGAGCAGUAGCGGGUCUGAGAGGAUGAUCGGCCACACUGGGACUGAGACACGGCCCAGACUCCUACGGGAGGCAGCAGUGGGGAAUUUUGGGCAAUGGGCGAAAGCCUGAUCCAGCCAUGCCGCGUGUCUGAAGAAGGCCUUCGGGUUGUAAAGGACUUUUGUCAGGGAAGCGGUACCUAAAGAGUAAGCACCGGCUAACUACGUGCCAGCAGCCGCGGUAAUAC
RNAcentral lists this ribosomal RNA (406 nucleotides) under uncultured bacterium. RNAcentral's name for it is "partial 16S ribosomal RNA". It matches the Rfam family "Bacterial small subunit ribosomal RNA", at positions 30 to 526 of the family's 1533-position model. The record is from RNAcentral.